UUUGGAGUUUUCGAGUUGCGAUUGCGUGAACGCGCGAGGCCUGUGGAAGGGGGCGGGCCAAGCUUGCUCCAUCCCUUUGUUCCAUGACGUGUUUCGUGAAAAUGUUGAUUUCAGAGCCCGCUGAGACCUGAGGACGUUAGGCUGGUACUAAGUUGAUGACAGCUCUUCUCAGAAAUGUCUUCUGUGCUGCUUCGGAGCUGGAGUUGAGGACUUCUUGAUUACCUCCCAUUUACCAGGAUUACAGCAAAUUAUAUUUAACUGUGACUGGCAUGCGAACUAUCUGACAUCGGACAUGGAUGAGGAAUACUGCUAUAUAAACCACAAUUUUAUUUAUUUAUUUGAGAGAGAGAAUGAGAGUACGAGAGAGAAGAGGGUCAGAG
Molecule: long non-coding RNA, 380 nt
Organism: Zalophus californianus (California sea lion)
Lineage: Eukaryota; Metazoa; Chordata; Mammalia; Carnivora; Otariidae
Exons: 4
Source: RefSeq, a predicted model, not a curated record